GGAGGAUAAGCCUUUAUCGGUUCAUAAACGGGAGAAUCUUAGGUUGAUAGCUGGUAAGAGGCGGAGACGUGGGUCUCGUUCGGUUUCCGGGAGGAGUAGUGAUCGGAGUGGAACUAGAAGACGGUGUUGCUCGGUUGGAGCUUCAGCAGCUUAUGGGACUUGUUCGGAUUUUCCUGUUGCUGCGGGGACUGAUUCAAGUGGGGAAUUGUUCGUGAAUGGGGAUAUGCAUUGGACUUUGGAUGUUAGUGAGGUUACAAAGAGUUUAAGGAAGGAGAAGGAAGGUGGUGGGGUUGGUGAAAGAGAGAAUAAUUUAAAUGGUUUGUCUGUGCAAAGUGGGAAUUUUGAGGGGUUGGG
RNAcentral lists this unclassified non-coding RNA (354 nucleotides) under Hevea brasiliensis (rubber tree). The record is from RNAcentral. Lineage: Eukaryota; Viridiplantae; Streptophyta; Magnoliopsida; Malpighiales; Euphorbiaceae.